AGUAAUUCAGCUAUAAAGAAACUGAAAAAAAAAAAGAAAAGAAACUGAGCACAGAGAGGUUUAAUAACUUGCUUUAGAUGGCACAGCUAGGAUCUGGGCAGUGUGGCUCCAGGGCAGGGACGCUAACCACCACACUAGAAUAAAUACAAGCUAGUUCAGAAGUUUAAUUAUGAACCAUCAGGGUCAGUCCUCAUCAGAACAGGGCUGGUAUCCUAAGCAGCGGAGACCACCCAUUCUUAAUCUGCAGAGAUUCCUCCCCACCGACCUUAUUCUUGGUGCUGGGGUUGGGGGGAGGCAGUAAGAUUUAGAAUCCCUUCCCACCCCUUCCCAGGCCCACACACACACCCCCCACCCCAGCCCCUUUUAGUGUCUUUUCUGACAUGUCCAUCAUCCUAUCUACGUGUCCUUUUUCCUUCACUAGUAUGGGAAGAAUAGUGUUCUCUCUCUAUCACUUGCAUGGAGAUAUGAAUUCAACCAGAUUCACCAAGUUCCUACUGUGUGCCGAAGGCCGAGGUGUGUGCCAGGCAUUGAAGUACAGUAUAAGCCAGACCCCGCCUUCAAGGGACCGCAGUCUCACAGGGCUACACAAUGAACUAUAACACCAGCCUAUGAGCUAUGGAGUUAUAAAGAAAGGAGGAAGUGACUAAUUGCAAUGGGGAGUGGGAGGUUGUGGUGAAUCCAGAAAGGCUUCACAUAGGAGGUGACACAGAAGCUAGGUCUUGAAGGAAUGAAUAGCCUUUUUGAUGGGCAAAGACGUGAACAAAGAGAAUUCUAGGCUGAGCCCGUAAUAUGAGCAAAGGCACAGUGGGAUCAAAGUGCAAGUGUGUGUUUAAGA
This is a non-coding RNA of Leptonychotes weddellii (Weddell seal), 835 nucleotides long. Lineage: Eukaryota; Metazoa; Chordata; Mammalia; Carnivora; Phocidae. The record is from RefSeq and is a predicted model, not a curated record.